Long non-coding RNA from Etheostoma spectabile (orangethroat darter), 76 nucleotides. RefSeq lists it as uncharacterized. The record is from RefSeq and is a predicted model, not a curated record. The transcript has 3 exons. Lineage: Eukaryota; Metazoa; Chordata; Actinopteri; Perciformes; Percidae.
CUUACUCUCUUGAUCCGGUUCUAUACUCUUUGUGUCGGUAUGCAGAAGUACAAUCUGGAGUUUGAGCAACUGUCCU